AUUGAACGCUGGCGGCAUGCUUUACACAUGCAAGUCGGACGGCAGCACAGAGAAGCUUGCUUCUUGGGUGGCGAGUGGCGAACGGGUGAGUAAUAUAUCGGAACGUACCGAGUAAUGGGGGAUAACUAAUCGAAAGAUUAGCUAAUACCGCAUAUUCUCUGAGGCGGAAAGCAGGGGACCUUCGGGCCUUGCGUUAUUCGAGCGGCCGAUAUCUGAUUAGCUAGUUGGUGGGGUAAAGGCCUACCAAGGCGACGAUCAGUAGCGGGUCUGAGAGGAUGAUCCGCCACACUGGGACUGAGACACGGCCCAGACUCCGACGGGAGGAAGCAGUGGGGAAUUUUGGACAAUGGGGGAAAGCCUGAUACAGCAAAGCCGCGUGUAUGAAGAAGGCGUUCGGGUUGGAAAGGACUUUUGUCAGGGAAGAAAAGGAUGUUGCUAAUAUCAAUAGCUGAUGACGGUACCUGAAGAAUAAGCACCGGCUAACUACGUG
Molecule: ribosomal RNA, 490 nt
Filed under: uncultured bacterium
Lineage: Bacteria
Description: partial 16S ribosomal RNA
Rfam family: Bacterial small subunit ribosomal RNA
Source: RNAcentral